CUUCUCUCUUUCUACAAUAUUGGAGGUUAGGGUUUCUGCGGCAAGGUGUUGAGAUAUGGAUAAUAAUGAUAUAAUGGUGUCGGUUCGUUCUGUGGUGUUCAAGGAAUCAGAAACCCUUGAAGGGAAAUGUAUUAAGAUUGAGGGUUAUGAUUUUAAUCAAUGAGUGAACUAUCCCAAGCUUUUGAAAUCGUUCGUCUCAACCGGUUUCCAAGCAUCUAAUCUUGGUGAUGCUAUCGAUGUUGUAAAUCAAAUAGUUAGUUUGAGUUUUAAGCUGUUUAUUAAUUUUAGGUGUUGUUUUGCUCGUUUUCAUUUUGUGUUCAUUUGUGUAUUUUGUGUGGUUCAAGCUAGAUUGGCGGCUAGCAAAUGAGAUACCCGAUGAAGAUUGCAUCAAGGAAGAGAGGGAUCCUGUUUACAGGGAAUCUGUGGGGUGCAAAGUGUUUUUAGGUUUUACCUCGAAUCUUAUAUCUUCUGGUGUUCGUGACACUGUUCGAUAUCUUACUCAACAUCAUAAGAUCUAUUCAAAAAUCAAACUGCUACGAUAAAGAAGGGCACCAAGCAUCUUGUUCUUAUGGAGAUGGCAUUUACAUGCUGCUGUUUGGAUGUGUUCAGAUCAUAAUCUCUCAGAUACCUGAUUUUCACAACAUGAAAUGGCUUUCUAUCUUGGCUGCCAUCAUGUCAAUUGCCUACUCAACCAUUGGAUUGGCCCUCGGCUUUGCUACCGUGAUUGGUGAUCAAUCCCAUAUAUUUCAUUGAUCUUUUAUUACUAUGUACUUGCAAGGAUUCAAGUCUAGAAUCGAAGAUGUCAGAGAGGAAAUGUACUUGCUUUUGUUAUCACUGAUUUUUACUUGGUUUGUCCACUUGAUUUGCUUUCUCUCUCUAGUUUAUUUUUAUUUUAAUUUUCUCUCUCUAGAUUACUUUGGUCUGGUGGUGGAUCUAUUUGUACAUUAAGGAUACAUGUAAUGCGAAUGGAGUGGUAAAAUAGUAUUGCGGUACUGGUACUGUAUUUUGCCUUGGUGAGCUGUGACAAAUAGCUAUAUGUGCUUAGCUGGGAUAGUUGAUCUUUUUUCUUAGAUUAUACUUGGAUGGAUUUUUUAUUUACUUAAUGCAUUGCUGAUAAAAUGAUGUAAGAGUGAGAAUAUAUAGUUCCUGCGAUGUUAUUUGAAAUAGCAAAUAUGUUGUUCUGUCCUUUCUCUAUGGGAACCAAGUGGUGAUAGAGCUGUUUAAAGUGGUGUACCUCUAAUUCAUGGCUGUCUGAGUAGUAUUGUCAAUAUUUUUGGCUCUUAUAACUGAAAUGCAGGUUAUUGUUGGCUACCUCCUUGCGGGAUCAAUGAUUGGGCCAGGAGGUCUAAUUGUAUCAGUGAAAUGGUUCAGGUGAAGUUAGACUGCCUUGUUUCUUUAUAAAUAUAUUAGAAAUUCUAUGACAUGCUCUGCUUAUAACUUGUCGUGAGUAUUUGUUCGUAUGAUUUACGAAUAUUUAGUUUUUUGUGCUCUUCCUCAGAUUUUGUGGUCGCCUCAAUAUCAUAUUUUACGUCAAGGUCUUAAUCCACAGAAGUAUUUUAAAGACAGCAUGUAGAGAAGGAAAUAUGUAGUUUAUUGUACAACAGUGAACAUAGAACAUUUCUUUUUUUGUAUUGUGUGUGUGUGAUAGAAGAGAGAGAGAGAGAGAGAAAGAGAGAGAGAGAGAAGGGUUAUUUGUAAUGGACUGAUUUUCUAGGUUUAUAAUUCUGAUUUAAUAGUAAACUUCCCAAAUUACCCCUCCUAAAGCCAGUCUAUUACAGUAUUGUAUCAACAUUUGUUACUAUGACUUGUGUAUUGAAAUUUGAACCGUAAAGUGUGACCUUUUGAGAAGAGAGACUUGUAUAGAUGAAUGUUUUUUGUGUGUAGCUUUUAAUCCAUUCCCAUUGAUAAUUUCUCUUUUUUCAUGUGUUUAGAUUUACCAAAUUUUGGGAACUUGUUUCUUCAGCCAUCUAAUCGUUCUGUAUUUUUCUUACAUGUUUUCUUCUGCAUAGGUUGAAACUGUUGCACAAUUUGGUGUUGUGUUCCUUCUAUUUGCUUUAGGAUUGGAAUUUUCCAUGACCAAGGCAAGAUUUGUUUUUUUUUUUUCCCCCCUGAUUAUAUCUUUAUCUGUGUUCUUGCUGUUGCUGUUAAUUUGACUUUUUGAUGGAGAGUUUCAUUACAUUAACUAUAUGUGUUCAUUUUGAGCAAAUGAACAUAAAUAAAUCAAAACCAUAAAUGUAUUCAUAUUUUAUGGUAGAAGCUGUAUUAACUGUAAUUUGGUGCAGCUCAGAGCAGUAGGGCAUGUAUCUGCUCUCGGUGGGAUGCUUCAAAUUAUCGUGUUCAUGUUUUUGUGUGGCAUAACUGUUACGAUAUGUGGAGGAAAAUUGUCGGAGGGGGUGUUUGUGGGUUCUUCCCUAUCUAUGUCGUCAACAGAUUCAGGAGGUAAAAUAGGAAAGGGAAGGCCUGAUUCAUGCUCUUGUUCUUCUGCACUUGUUUUUCUUGCUGGCCUGGUUUUCUGUCUGUUUCUUCUCUGUGUGCCUUGCUGAAUUCUGGAUUUGGCGUGUGUUCUAGAGUUUGUUCAGCUUUGAUUCAUGCCCUGAGUCUGUCUUUUCUAUCUGCUUGGUUGAGUUGCUAUUUCUCUAGCUCUUGUUUUGUCUAUUAUGUGCUACUGCAGGCUGUGUUCUACUGUGAUGCUGAGCUAGUAAGUGUGCUGGGGUUGUUUGACUGUUCCUGUCCCUGCUGGUUUUCUAUGGUCUGUCUUUCUGCUGGCCUGUUGUGUAGCUGUUCUGCGUUCCUGAGCUUGGUUCUGAUGUGGUGGCUACUGUGUUGGUGUCUUUGCUCUGGUGCAGUUUGUGUUUCUGUGACCGUGGGACUGUUCUGCUAUGGUUCAGAUUGCUAUGAUGCUGUUUGCGUUUGGUCAAGUCAGUUUUUCAGUUGCGGUUUUGCUGAUUUGCUUUGCUCUGAUUCUGUGUUGCUGAGUGCUAGGUUUCAUGGGCUGAUCCUUGAAGCUUUCUACUCAGCUGGUGCUGUCUGACUGCUGUUCUUCAGGGACUUACUGGUGCCUGCUCUGCACUGGUUGGGCUGCUGGUUUGGGUGCUGUACAGUAGUGGUGUGGUUUGGUGUUGCUGUUUUGGUGGGCUGCGAGGUUGUAAUAUUAUUUAAUAUUUUUUGGACGAAAAUUGUAAUAUUACAGCCUUUUUUAAUGAAAAUAUGUAACUUUAUAUA
RNA transcript from Chenopodium quinoa (quinoa), 3222 nucleotides. It is a transcript of the gene named K(+) efflux antiporter 5-like, with no coding region annotated. The transcript is spliced from 4 exons. NCBI's taxonomy places the organism in Eukaryota, Viridiplantae, Streptophyta, Magnoliopsida, Caryophyllales, Amaranthaceae. The record is from RefSeq and is a predicted model, not a curated record.